AGGACGAACGCUGGCGGCGUGCUUAACACAUGCAAGUCGAACGCGUCUUAUUCCUUCGGGAGUAAGGUGAGUGGCGAACGGGUGAGUAACACGUGAGCAACCUGCCCUUGACCCUGGAAUAACAGCUGGAAACAGCUGCUAAUACCGGAUACGACCUCCGAUGGCAUCAUCUGGAGGUGGAAAGCUCCGACGGUCAAGGAUGGGCUCGCGGCCUAUCAGCUUGUUGGUGAGGUAACGGCUCACCAAGGCUUCGACGGGUA
RNAcentral lists this ribosomal RNA (260 nucleotides) under uncultured bacterium. Its description in RNAcentral is "partial small subunit ribosomal RNA". It matches the Rfam family "Bacterial small subunit ribosomal RNA", at positions 26 to 285 of the family's 1533-position model. The record is from RNAcentral.